Molecule: RNA transcript, 1806 nt
Organism: Ostrea edulis (European flat oyster)
Lineage: Eukaryota; Metazoa; Mollusca; Bivalvia; Ostreida; Ostreidae
Exons: 3
Source: RefSeq, a predicted model, not a curated record
AUGACAAUAAUAAUAAAUAAAUGUGUACGUCGUGUGGAAUUUAGCAAAACCCUCCUUCGUUGGCAUUAUUUACUUCCUGUUGAAAAAACGAAAGUAGCAUUCCUCACGUCAACCCAUAUUGAUAUGUCAAUACUAAACUCAAAAUGUAGAUUUACUAUUUUUAAUGUGACAUACUUCACCUCUAUAUUGAUUUUGGCAAUUGCAAUAUUCAAGGGCGACACACUUAGCUCACUGUCGUUAGGUGCUAGUUGUCCUACUUUAUAUUUUCCGAAAAAUUGGUUCCUGGAAUGUCAAAGACGGAUCUCAAUGACAGAUGACCAGCUGACAUCUAUCCACAGUAAGCAUAUUGCUGAAGUCCAUGAUGUGCCAGUAUCGGUGUUGAUUAGACCGUUUGUGUCAGUUCUAGACGAAGCUAAAGUGAGAUCUCUGAUGGAGACGCUGCAAGAUGAAGAUCACGCACACGAUGUUCCUCCAGUCGAUGUACUCUGGGUCAAAGGGCGUGAAGGAGGGGACUAUUUUUACUCCUUUGGGGGCUGUCACCGAUAUGAGGCAUACAAACGGCUGAACAGACAGACGAUUCCUUGUAAAUUGUUCAGAUCUACCAUCAGUGAUCUACGGACGUAUUUGGGAAGCUCUACGCCAGAUCUGCUCUAACACUUCUUUAUUUUGCUAUUAUUUAUUCAGUGAAUUUCUAUAAGGUCACUGGUAUAUAAAAUUCACGUGCUUUAUGUUCGUUGUAGGGAGUAUGACAGCAAAAGUAGUGUUUAAGGUCAUAUACGAGGUUUCUCAACAAUACAAGGUUCUGCAUAGAGACAUUGCUAAGUUAUUGGAGCAAAGAAGGGGAGAAAAAAUACAUGGACCAAUCGGAGAUCAAACUGGGGAUUCUUGCAUUACUAGUACGGUUAUCUAACUACUGAGCUAAGCUGGCCGAUAUAUGAAGUGUAGUAAUAUCAUAACAGUAUAAGCUAUUUCGGAAAUCAUACAAGAACUUUUCAUAUCUAGAAGAUAGGGGGAAUUAAAGAGGUUUAGAAGAAAUGGCAGAAACGCCGCGUGUGACCUUAAGCUAGAAAAAAAAAUGGAUUGAUUGAAGACUAAAAGUCCAGCAGAGGAGGACCCGGAUAUUUCUAUGAUAAGGAGGAAAUCUGUUGCCUUAGAUGUACUUUUCUAUCCCAAAGGAGGAUUGCAAUCCUCCCAAUGGCACAAAACUACUUCUUUCGUGUAAAUGCAUUAAUAUGCUUAAACUGAUAAAAAUGUAUUGAAAGCUUCAUCAAGUUAUCGAAAGCUCAAUGAGACCUAAAUCAUAUAAUAAACGACACCAUUGCCAGUAUUACAUCCAUUGUCAACAACACAAGGUUCUUAAAUCCCGGCGUCUACAACUUUGUAUGAUUCCAACCAGCCCAUCUAAUGCCAGACAGUGGAUUUGGACCCGCAGGAUGCGAUGACGUAUGCUAGCCUGAGGUCAAAUGUUCAUCUACUGCCAUCAUGCGGGCGAUUCUUUUCAACGUAUUGUUGCAAAUUUACCUUCUACCCCCCUAAUGUGCAUUAGUUUGACAGUUACGACAUCAAAAACAAGAGUUUUUUUUUUUUAAGUUGCGAAUAUAUCAGUAAUCUGAACGUGAUUCCAGAUUACAAUGUUUUCUUAAAUUCUUUAAAAUUUAAAAAAAGUAAAUAAUAUCUGUAAUGUUAAAUACUUGUACAAUAAUACAUUUCUGUAAUAAUUUGCUGCAAUGUGAGGAACCAAUUGCUUCUUGACUGCAUGUCCAAAAGAAUUUAUAAUUUCAGAUGUUAUUAAACUUAUUGUUGGAA